This 552-nucleotide long non-coding RNA is filed under the name Eucalyptus grandis. Its description in RNAcentral is "long non-coding RNA (EGRA_LNC007900)". The record is from RNAcentral. Lineage: Eukaryota; Viridiplantae; Streptophyta; Magnoliopsida; Myrtales; Myrtaceae.
UUAAACCCUCCAAUUUUCUUGUCGUCCAAGCACGUUCGCUCCCCUCAAAAACCCCCACCGUCGCUUCCGAUUCCGAUACCGCCCCGUUCCCUAGAAAGCUCGCAGCUUUGUCCUUCGAUCGGAGCCGGCGAAAUGCUGCUGUCGAGGAUCCUGUCCCGCGCUUCCCGGAGCGCGAGCCGGGCCGCCUCCCUCCUGUCAUCUCCUCCGGCCCAGGCGCAUCCCCCGCCGCUCGUCUCCGAACGGCGCCGCGCGCUUGCGUGCGGUUCUCCGAGCAAGGUACUCGACAAGAACCCGUCCGCGUCUGCGGUCUUCAACGGUCUUCGAAUAUUCGGUUCUUCGUGUGGCGUCCUUCAAUUUCAUUCUAUCGUGAGUUUGUUGCGCCUUAGGAUUUCAGUCUCCCUCGUGGAUUGAUUGAUUGAUUGAUUGAUUGGAAUUGAUUUGGAGUUGCGGUUUAUGAAGUGGCUAGAGCGCAAACUUGUUGGUUAUUGCCUUAUUGGGUUUGCGCAUUAUGAUAUGGGACUCCGUUGGCUCGCGAGGUUAAACGAAUGAACG